Molecule: ribosomal RNA, 506 nt
Filed under: uncultured bacterium
Lineage: Bacteria
Description: bacterial SSU rRNA
Rfam family: Bacterial small subunit ribosomal RNA
Source: RNAcentral
AAUGAACGCUGGCGGCGUGCUUUACACAUGCAAGUCGAGCGAGGCGUCCCGCAAGGGACAGUCGAGCGGCGAACGGGUGAGUAACGCGUGGAUAACCUGCCCUGAGGUGGGGAAUAACCCGGGGAAACUCGGGCUAAUACCGCAUGAUACCGAGAGGUCAAAGCGGGGUCGCAAGAUCUCGUGCCACAGGAGGGGUCCGCGUUCGAUUAGCUAGUUGGUAGGGUAAUGGCCUACCAAGGCCACGAUCGAUAGCCGGCCUGAGAGGGUGAUCGGCCACACUGGAACUGAGACACGGUCCAGACUCCUACGGGAGGCAGCAGUGGGGAAUUUGCGCAAUGGGCGAAAGCCUGACGCAGCAACGCCGCGUGGAGGAUGAAGGUCUUUGGAUUGUAAACUCCUGUCAGCAGGGAAAAAGGGACCGACCCAAUACGUCGGGGACUUGAUUGUACCUGCAGAGGAAGCCCCGGCUAACUCUGUGCCAGCAGCCGCGGUAAUACAGAGGGGGC